Molecule: ribosomal RNA, 353 nt
Filed under: uncultured bacterium
Lineage: Bacteria
Description: bacterial SSU rRNA
Rfam family: Bacterial small subunit ribosomal RNA
Source: RNAcentral
AACGAACGUUGGCGGCGUGGAUUAGGCAUGCAAGUCGUGGGCGGUGUAGUGGCGUAGCAAUACGUCGCUGCACUGACCGGCGUAAGGGGUAGUAAUACAUGGGUAACCAACCCUCCAGAUGGGGAUAACCCGUCGAAAGACGGACUAAUACCCAGCGACGUUGCGAGGGGGCGAUCUCUUUGCAACCAAAGGUGUGAUUCCGCUGGAGGACGGGCUCAUGUCGUAUUAGCUAGNGGUAGGGUACGGCCUACCAAGGCGAAGAUGCGUAGGGACGUUAGCGCGUGAUCCCACCACUGGGACUGAGACACUGCCCAGACACCUACGGGUGGCUGCGAGUCGAGAAUCUUCGGCAA